This 481-nucleotide ribosomal RNA is filed under the name uncultured soil bacterium. RNAcentral's name for it is "bacterial SSU rRNA". It matches the Rfam family "Bacterial small subunit ribosomal RNA", at positions 59 to 519 of the family's 1533-position model. The record is from RNAcentral.
AUGUCGAACGCGAAAAUCCCGCAAGGGAUCAGUAGAGUGGCAAACGGGUGAGUAACACGUGGGUGACCUGCCUUCGAGUGGGGGAUAACGUCCCGAAAGGGACGCUAAUACCGCAUGACAUCCUGUCUUUGGAAAGACGGAGAUCAAAGCUGGGGAUCGCAAGACCUGGCGCUUGAAGAGGGGCCCGCGCCUGAUUAGCUAGUUGGUAGGGUAACGGCCUACCAAGGCGACGAUCAGUAUCCGGCCUGAGAGGGCGGACGGACACACUGGGACUGAGACACGGCCCAGACUCCUACGGGAGGCAGCAGUGGGGAAUUGUUCGCAAUGGGCGAAAGCCUGACGACGCAACGCCGCGUGGAGGACGAAGAUCUUCGGGUCGUAAACUCCUGUCGAGUGGGAAGAACGCUUCGGGAUUGAAUAUUUCCCGGAAUUGACGGUACCACUAAAGGAAGCCCCGGCUAACUCCGUGCCAGCAGCCGCG